AGAACGAACGCUGGCGGCAUGCCUAAUACAUGCAAGUCGAACGAACACUUCGGUGUUAGUGGCGCACGGGUGCGUAACGCGUGGGAAUCUGCCCUUGGGUUCGGAAUAACAGUUGGAAACGACUGCUAAUACCGGAUGAUAUCGAAAGAUCAAAGAUUUAUCGCCCAGGGAUGAGCCCGCGUAGGAUUAGCUAGUUGGUGAGGUAAAGGCUCACGAAGGCGACGAUCCUUAGCUGGUCUGAGACGGAUGAUCAGCCACGACUGGGACUGGACGACACGGCCAGACCUCCGACGGGAGGCCAGACAGGUAGGGAAUUACGUUAGACGAAGUGGGCU
RNAcentral lists this ribosomal RNA (335 nucleotides) under uncultured soil bacterium. Its description in RNAcentral is "bacterial SSU rRNA". It matches the Rfam family "Bacterial small subunit ribosomal RNA", at positions 26 to 382 of the family's 1533-position model. The record is from RNAcentral.